Molecule: ribosomal RNA, 253 nt
Filed under: uncultured bacterium
Lineage: Bacteria
Description: partial 16S ribosomal RNA
Rfam family: Bacterial small subunit ribosomal RNA
Source: RNAcentral
UACAGAGGGGGCAAGCGUUAUUCGGAAUUAUUGGGCGUAAAGAGCUCGUAGGCGGUUUGUCGCGUCGAAUGUGAAAACCCGGGGCUCAACCCCGGGCCUGCAUUCGAUACGGGCAGACUAGAGUUCGGUAGGGGAGUCUGGAAUUCCUGGUGUAGCGGUGAAAUGCGUAGAUAUCUGGAGGAACACCGGUGGCGAAGGCGGCAUCCUGGACCAAUACUGACACUGAGGCGCGAAAGCUAGGGGAGCAAACAGG